UGCCAGCCGCCGCGGUAAUACGUAUGUCUCGAGCGUUACCCGGAAUCACUGGGUGUAAAGGGUUCGUAGGCGGACUUGUAAGUCAGACAUGAAAGACCGGAGCUCAACUCCGUGUUUGUAUUUGAAACUGCAAGUCUAGAAUUAGGGAGAGGUUAGCGGAAUUCUAAGUGUAGGGGUGCAAUCCGUAGAUACUUAGAGGAACACCAAAAGCGAAGGCAGCUAACUGGAACUAUAUUGACGCUGAGGAACGAAAGCGUGGGGAGCGAAAAGGAUUAGAUA
This 279-nucleotide ribosomal RNA is filed under the name uncultured bacterium. Its description in RNAcentral is "partial 16S ribosomal RNA". It matches the Rfam family "Bacterial small subunit ribosomal RNA", at positions 506 to 784 of the family's 1533-position model. The record is from RNAcentral.